GUUAAAAUAAUUGAAUGCUGUGAUAGCAUACAUACUGGCAUGACUUUUUGAGCAGCCAUUCAUAACCUAUUUGUCACAAAGCAUAAUUUCAUGAUAGAACUCUGAUUCACAUGCGGUUUUAUUUUUCCAGCAAUAAAACAUUUGAAUAACUCCUUCACGAAGGCUGGCUACAUUUUCACAAUAUCCAAUCCCAAACUAGAGCUUCAGGAAAAGGGAUCCAGGAAAUGAUUAUUCCACCAAGUAAAAUUUUGCUGAGAGUAUAUGUCCAGAAUGGGCAUUGAACUUUGUCAAGUGGUUUUUCUGUAUCAACUGAUAUCAUCAUGUGGUUUUCCUUUUUUGAGAUGUUCCUGGUUACAUCCUAAUAAACCCACUGUAAGUUGAAAACAUCCUAAGUGGAAAAUGUGCUGAAUCCACCUAGCAUACAGAACAUCCUAACUUAGCAACACAGCACACUGGAAUAUUGGCUGCUUCCCCUCAUGGUCAUGCAGAAGCUUGGAACUGUGGCUGCCUGCUGCUGCCCACCUCCACCAGAGAUGACCAUACUGCAUAUUGCUAGAGUGGGAAAAGAUCCAAAUUCAAAAUCAAAGUUUCUACUAAAGGUGUAUCACUUCCUCAUCCUUGUAAGGUCAAAAAAAAUCCUAAGUCAAAACCCUGCAUGUCAGGGAUUGCCUGUAGUUGUUCCAAAGAUUAACUGAGAUGCUACAAAUAAAGUAAUUAGCAUUUGGCACAAUGACUAACAAUAGCAUUGAAUAACAUGUAUUGACUUUUUAAACAAUAUAUGUUGGACUUUUUUUUUCAUACUGGGGAUCAAACUCGGGGACCUUGUGCUUGCGAGGCAGACAGCAGAACCACUGAGCUAAAUCCCCAGCCCCUGAUGGACUUUUAAAAUCAGUCCAUCCAAGACAGAAGAUGAGAAUGAGAGUCUUGAUAGAAUUAAAAAGAAAAAGUCCCAUGUUGCUUUUGCUAUCUUCCACAGCUGUGAACUGUUGCUCCUCUGCCAUCCUGCCUUGGAGUAAGCAAACUAUGAACUAAAACUUCUACUAAAUGAUUUAAACAAGGAAGAUAAAAAUGUGCACUGCAUUCACAAUAUGAAAAAUCACGAGUGAGGACAAGAGCUGCCCGCAGCACAGAGGGGGUGAAACUUCUGGCCCACUGAACCACCACCCCCAGCUCCCAGGAGGAGACUUCCCCCAGCACAGAGGAGGUGAACUUUCUGGGCUGCCAUGCCACUGCCUCCAGUGCUGAGGAGGUGAACCGCACUGGCGCAAGCAGCACACAACCCUCCCCCAGCCCCACCCCGCCCCAUUGAAAUGAGAAACCGCUUAAACAAGUCUCAAAAUCAGACUCCCAGAUCACCAAAAGCAACCUCAAAAGGAAAUGAGAUGGAACAAUCUGAUACACAACCACCUAGACUCCCUGAACUGGCUACAAAAGAGGAUCUGGAAAAAAUGAAAUCAGAAAUAAUUUCUCAGAUAACAGCAGAGGUUAUGCGCAUAGUGCAAGACAUGAUUAACAAAUCUAGAGAGGAGCUCAGGAACAUGAUGGAAUCCUAACAUAGGAAACAAAUGGAAUCCAUAAAAUAGAUGCAAACAGAUUUCCAGGAGAUGAAAAUCUCCACUGAAAGUUUAUGGAGCAGAAUGAGCCAAUGUGAGGACAGAAUUUCAGAUAUAGAAGAUAAGAUUGCAAUUAGUGACCAGGAAAAGAAAAAUUCCUUUAAAAUUGUAAGGGAGCAUGAGAAAUCAAUCCAGCAGCUGCUAGACAAUGCAAAGAAGAAUAACAUAAGACUUAUUGGAGUCAAUGAAGAAACAGGAGAGAGUGCAGAUGACACAAAAAACUGUUCACAGAAGUGAUGGCAGAAAACUUCCCAAGCAGGGGAAAAGAACUUGACAUACAGAUAAGUGAGGCAUAUAGAACUCCAACUAGCUUUGAUUAAAUAUUGAUCUUCUGGAUAAAUCUGUAAGUUUUGUCCAGUCCAUAGACCUUUUCCUCUACAAAAUACAAUGGAAAAUCUGUGAUAGAAAUAUAUUAUCCAAUAAGCUUUGAUUUGGAGUCAACCCUCCCAUGAUAAUAUUUCAAUAAGAAAAAGUAAAUAAGAUAAAUCAUAUAAGAGGAAGAGGUGACAUUUCAUAUCAUUAUUUGCAGGCACCAGGUUUUCAGGUAGAUACUUCUCAGUCUCUUUCUCAUUUAAUAAUUUAAUGAAAGAAGAUCUUUUUUUUAGGAAGGUAAACUCAGUGUGAUAGUCAAGAUCCCAGAUAAUAAGUUAAGGCUAUUAUUUCUCAUAUCCUGUUGAAAUAUAAUGCAGAUGGUAUGGAAACCAGAGUCAAGGAAUCAAAAGAAUAUUCAAAUGUAGGGACAUCAAUAUUUUAAGUCUUAAUGACAGAGCAUAUGUUCUUUGCUCCUCUUCCUUUGUAUAGUCAACAUGAAAUAAUAGUCAUGGAGAAGGUAGGUUUCCCAUCUCUACUAAGGUGCUCAAUUUAUUUUGUUGUUUGUAUUUAUUUUUGAGAGGUGCUGCCUGAAUGGGGAUUUUGUUCAAUAUCAUAGGAACUUAUUUGUUGUAUAGUAUUUCACAGAAUAAAAAGCUCUUAGAGUGAAAAAAAAAAAGAAUUUAAGGAAAAAAGAGAGUGAGAGAGAUUGAAGAUGAUAUCAGAAAAUGGAAAGACAUCCCUUGGUCUUGGGUAGAAAGAAUCAACACAGUGAAAAUGGCCAUACUUCCAAAAUUGCUAUAUAGAUUCAAUGCAAUCCCAAUUGAAAUCCCAGAAGCAUACUUCAUGGACCUUGAGAAAACAAUCCAAAAAUUCAUUUGGAACAAGAAGAGACCUAGAAUAGCAAAAGCAAUUGUAGGCAACAGGGAUAUGGCAGGAGGUAUCACAACUCCCAACUUGAAACUAUACUACAAAGCUACUGUGAUAAAACAGCAUGGUACUGGCAAAGAAACAGACCUGAGGACUGGUGGAACAGAUUAGAAGAUGCAGAAACAGUUCCAGAUACACUCAGCCACCUCAUCUUAGACAAAGGAACCAAACACCCUCACUGGAGGAAAGAUAGCCUCUUUAAUAAAUGGUGCUGGGAAAAUUGGGUUUCAACUUACCAAAGAUUAAAACUAGACCUAUAUCUCUCACCAUGCACUAAACUAAAAUUGAAAUGGAUUAAAGAUCUAAAUAUUAAAACAGAACUGGCUGGAACAGAACUCUUGAAGGUAGAACUCUUGAAAACAUUGGUGUAGGAAAAGAUUUUAUGAACAAAACCUCAGUUGCCCGUGAACUAGCACAGACAAUCAACAAGUAGGAUCUACUCUUAUCAAAAAUCUUCUUUACAGUAAGAGAAACCACCAACAGUGUGAAGAGACAACCCACAAUGUGGGAAAAAUUUUUCACCUACAGUUCCUCAGACAGAGGUCUACUAUCUAGAAUCUAUAAAAAACUUUUAAAAAAUCAGACCUCCCAAAUUCAAAGACCCAGUCCAAAAAUGGACAUCUGAAAUGAACAGACAUUUCUCAGGCAAAGAAGUAGAAAUAGCAAAUAAACAUAUGAAAAAAUGUUUAACAUCACUGGUCAUUCGAGAGAUGCAAAUGAAAACAAAGCUGAGAUUCUACCUCACCCCAGAAGGAAUGGUUAUCAUGAAAUCAACCAAUAACAAAUGCUGGCGGAGCUGUGGGGAAAGAGGAGCCCUGCUCCACGGCUGGUGGGAGUGUAGACUGGUGUAACCACUGUGGAUAUCAGUAUGGAGAUACCUCAAAGGACUAGGACUGGAAGUCCCAUUUGACCCCACUAUUCCCCUGCUGGGGAUCUUCCCCAAAGAAUUAAAAGAAUCAUACCACAGUGAUAUAUGUGCACCCAUGUUCAUAGCAGCACAAUUUGUAAUAGCUGAAACUUGGAAGCAGCCCAUUUGCCCAUCAACUGGAGACUGGAUAAAGAAAAUGUUGUUUUUUUAUAAAAUGGAGUACUACUCAGCCAUAAAAAAUGAGAAAUUAGAGAGAUUUAUUGCUAAAUGGAUGUACAUUGAAGUGAUACUCUUAAGUGAAAUAAAUAGGACACACAUGUGUAAAUACCGAAUAGUUUCUCUAGUGUGAGAAACUGAAAAUGUGGGUAAGAACUAAAAGGUAUAAUAGAUAAUGUGAAAUAGGAAGAAAAGGGACAAGGGGGAAGGGGAAAUUGGAAGGGUAGGGGAUAGGGAAGAAGGAAAUGGAAUUAAUAUGAGAAAUUGAAGAAAAGGAAACAAAGUCUUUGUAAAUAGGGAGGGAUGGAGGGGUUGAAGGGAGGGCAGAGGGAUGGGGAAAAAAUAACCAAGAGAGAUUAUGUAAAGGUACAAAUUUCCAAUGAUGAAUGUCAUUAUAUUGUAUACCUAAAAUGUAUGAAUAAAAUUAAUUUUAAAAAAGAAUUAGAAAGAAAAAGGUAGCAGGAGAAAGAAACAGAAUAAAUUAAUAGUAUGAGACAUUCUUGCUGGACUGGUUAUUUAUAAUGUGAUUUUCCGAGAGAAUGACAGCCAGCUGAAUGAGAGAAAAUAUAAAAUCACUAAAUUUAAACACUGGUAUUGGAAAAUUGGAGACAAAAUGUAAACAAGCAUUUUGCCUAUUUCAUGUUUAUCACAUAAUCACAGCACUACCAUAUUUGGAGUAAAUAGCCUAAUAUUUGAUACAAACGUGACUGAUAUUUAUUAUAAUGUUUCGGAUAUGUAUAUUCAUAAAGCAAGAUUUUUAUCUGCUUGUCUUAUCCAAAAAUGAAUCUGAUGGAUGGUUUCCAAGCUGUAAUUUGGGUUUAUAAGAACGUAAAUACCACAUUAUAAUUGCGUUCCCAGUAGCCUUUAAGCUCAUGGAGAUUAGGCAUGGCUGAUGCCAGGCAACCUCAGGAGCCCUGGAGACAGAACUGCUCACUCCACAUUCCCAUGGGCCUCCCAUUCCUGAGAGUAUAUUUCAAGAUGUGUUUCUGUGAGGCUCAGAGACUUUACAGUUUUCUAGGGCCUUCCUCGAAGGCACCGUGCUUAUGCCUAAUGGAGGUUAAUGAUGUAACUGGUGAGAAUAUGAGGUUUCAACAGGAGCCCCAAGGAGAGACACCUUAUGCCCAACAUAUCUGUGCACCAAAAGCCUUCUCAAGGUAAGUGGUCCACUGGCCAUGAAGCAUGAGGGAUGAAUAGCUACUUCUCAGGGGAACAGAAGGUCAGGAAAAGGAGCAGUAGUCCAAGCAAAGGUGACUUGAAUGGCUAGGCAGGAGUUUAGUGAGGGUGAUAGGGCAUGUCCAGAAGAACUGGACAGAGAGAGCCAGAUGGAAAAAGUGAAAACUAGGGCUAGAGCUAGGGAGUAACCCUAACAUGAAGGGCCUAUGCAGAAGGUUAGAUUUUAUCUCAAGGAUGUUAUGCACUGAAUUGUAUCCCCUCAAACUCAUAUAUUGAAAGCUUAAUAGUUUAGUACUUCAGAAUGUGGCUGUAUUUAGAAAUAGUGUCCUUAAAGAGGUAAUUAAAAUGAGAUCAUUACUGUGGGACCUAACUCAAUGUGACUGAGGUCUAUAGAAGAAGAGAUGAGGAGGCAGAUACACAGAAGGGAGAAGUUGGCUACAACUACACAGCAAGGAGAUAGUCCUCAGAAGAAACUGGCAUGUUCAGUUCUGGCCUCCAGAACUGUGAGAAAAUAAAUUUCUGUGGUUCAAGUAAUCUAUAGUAUGUUAUUAUGGGAGCCCUAGGAAACUUCUGAGAAAGGAUCAGGCAAGGAGAGGAUAGUUAACUUUAUCUCAUUGAAAAUUCCCUCUGGCCUAUGAGCAAAAUGAAUUGAGGGAGAUAAGUCUGGAGACAACAGGUUCUGAAGCCACUGUAGUACCAUGAGUAUAACCAAGGAUUGCAGCUACCAUGGAAUUGGGGCAGACUGAGUGCAGCAAGCUGUGGGAGGUGCCUUCUAAACAGAUAACAUAUACUGUGUGUCUAUAGGUUGUACAAUACAUACUGUGUAACUGCAAGCCUUCAUGAUAGCACCCAGAAUAAGAGAUAAGUAAAGGAAUCAAAAGAAAGUCAUAGACUGGAGAGAUAUUUAGAGAAUACUCAAUUGUAUUUGAAGCCUGGUUGGAUGCUACCAGUGAGGAAGAGGAAGGACCAAAGGAUGAAGCUGUGUGCAGCCCUGGGCAGCUAGAGAGGUGAGGCACUUGGUGACUAAGAAACCAAGGAGGAAGAACUGGAUUGGAGAGGACUGUUUGUUUUGGCUACAGGUUUGAGGAACCAAAUGAAGAUAUCAAGUGAACAUUUUCAAUAAGAAGUUGGGUAUAUGAAGAUAUGGAUUUUCGUAUACUUCAUGAUUUAGAGGACUCUCUAUUUUAACCCAGGGGGGUUGAUAAGAACAGAAGGAAUAGUGUGUAAAACAAGAAAACAGCAUACAAGAAAUAAGCCCUCCUGAUAUCAAACUUCUAAGUUAGAGGCUCAGUAUGGGACUAUAGAGUGCAUGAGAAAACAGUUUUGCCAUUCCCUUCCCCUAUUCUACUCAGCCACUGCUUCUAAGUCCAGAUAACUCUUCAUAUCCAGCUCUAUGAGACUUGGGGAUCCCUGAAUGCUGAGAAAGUGUGAGCAUGGAGUGAUCUCAUUCACCCAGAAUCCACUAGGUACCUAUCAUAGGUAGUAUGUUGGUCAAUAAAAACAGUGAUGUUGCUUCCCAUUUUCAGAACAGUAAGAUGCUUAUAUUGUUGUAUUCCAUCAAUAGUUCUAGCAGCAGCAAGGAAGAGCAAGAUUAAAUUUUUGCCAGUAUCCCAGGGGAAAUCAGAAGAUCUCCUCUCAACAAUUUCCUAUACCUGUCUUGGUGAAAGAAUUUAAUUACCUCAGAUUCAGAAGGAAAGCAUAAUUCUGCAAAGUUCACUUUAGAUCUUCACUGGUCCUAUGCCUCUAGAAUGCCUUUUAUUUUUGUAUAUCAGGAAUCUUUCAAGUUAUAUUUUCUUCCCUCUCUCAGGGUUCUAAAUGUCAAAGAAAAAUAUUUUUUGAGUUUUGAAGGGCUCUUUCUAACACAAUUCUCUGACUCCUUAAGCAGGAUAUAAUGAGCAAAAUCCAUCUGUCAUUUACUUCCUGAAUUAGGUCACUAUUAUAAGUAUCAGUUAUUGAACAGAGUCAACACAUGGUGAUGUCUCAUUGACCAGAGCUUAAAAUAGCUGUGGAUCAAUACUCCCUCAGUUUGUCUUUUUUUUUUUUUUUUGACACUAACCAUUCUGAUAAGAAUCAUCCUUCAUAUAAAGGCUAGAAUGUAAGAUUUACAAGCAUGGGAGACUCUGGAAUAUCUACAAUGUGUAUAAAAUAAGAGAAAAUUGGGCUGGGGAUUUAGCUCAGUAGUUCCACCACCUGCCUUGCAAGUGCAAGGUCCUGAGUUCAAUCCCAGUACAAAAAAAAAGAAAGAGAGAGAGAGAGAAAAUGAACUCUUUGUUGAGGUCUUUGCAUGAAACUUUGGGCAUAGCUACAGAAAAUCUAUUUAGAUCUACAGAGAUCCUGUCAUGUAUUUUUGCCUUCUCCUGAAUUCAUAGCUGAAGUUGCAAGUUGGAAAAAGUAAACACAAAGUCAUUCUCUUCCUCCUUUAUUGUCACAUGUGAUCAAAUGUUCACCAUAAUGUAGCUGAAGGUGGUCCUUUGCAACUCAUAGUCCUGUGCUUGUUAUUUAUCUGAGUUGGAGUUCAGACAAUGGUAGUUAUCAUUCACUCUCCAAUUAUCUUGUCCCAUCCCUUAUAGUUAGUGGGAGACAUGGUUUUAGAAUUACGCUUUUAAGAAAGACAAUCUGAGGCAGGAAAUGUGUUCAUGGGAACCACAGCUAAAUCCUUGGCUUGUGCAUUCCUGCGGAGACUCCUUGGGGUCACCAGAAAGCAAUGAAUAGAACACAGGAAAGAAGGUUUAAUUUUUUCUUGAGCUCAAAGUACUAUAAUUUGCUAUAGAUGUAGAUGGAACCCCAUUACCAACCCCAGUCUGGAGAUAGUUAAGCAACACCUUCUAACUAAAGAUAUAUUCAAAUCCUUCUGGGAACCUGGAAUCAGAUUAUCUUGACAGUCUAAAAGAAUUCUUUAAACAUGAAAAUCACCAUUUAUGUUGAUGUUUGACUUAUGAUGGCAGUUUGUUCAGUUUAGUAAUUCCAUCAAGAAUGAAAACUUCUUAUGUAAUAUAUUAUAGGAAAGCAAGAAGGUUUACUCUUUUGGCAGGUAAAAAGAAGAAAGUAUCCAGCCAUGAUCAAGAAGCCAACAAUCCUGGAAAGAGCUGUAAAAUCCAAUUUGAAAGCAGUGAGAAGUCCAGAAUGAAUCAUCUAAACAUGUUAUUGUGAAAGAAUGGUGACGUGGAAGGACAGAGUAGACUCAAAUGGGAGAAAAAAGUUAAGGUAGUUUCUCCUAACUCUAGGUCAUUUGAUUCUAAUGCAUUCCAAGGGAUAUUCCAAGUUCUUUUAUUUUUUUUUACCCUUCUUCAACAUAAUUUUAGUUGAAAUGAGAAAGCAACUAGAAAGGCUUUGUUUAUAAAGAUGUGACAAAAUUCUAUCCAGUCUAGAGAGAGAAAAGAGAAAUUCCACAAGUGGAAAUUCUAGGAAACCUACUCUACAUAGAUGUUUGUGUCAUCACUCAACAUUCACCUGCCUUUGUUUUUUAAUCAUAUUUUCACAUGGAUAAGCUACCUAAAACACAGCCAGGUAUCUUUAUUAGGUGUAGUGAGAUUUUAUGUCCAGUACUUAUAAAUCAGGUAGGGGAGGGCAGAGCUGACCGUUCAAAGUCCAUUCUCUUGCAAUGCCUCAAGCAGUGUUUCUCAACUAUCAUCUACAUAAAGAUCUCCCAGAAUAUGUGAAAAUUCAGAUUCUGAUUCAGAAGGUCUAUGGUAGGGCCUGAGAUUUCACAUUUCCAUAUGACACUGAAGCUGCUGGUCCAAGUUACCCUUUUCAGUAAGUUGACUGUUCCUGUCAUGUCCUGUAGAUGGAGAAAAAUCCCAUUGCCAUUUCUCAUUUAGAGCUGUAAGAGAAGCCCAUCAUCCACAGAAGCAAUGAGUCUUCUUUGUAGUGCAUGGGUUUAAUUCUAGGCUCCUUGCAUUUGAUAUAUGAGCCUUAUAUAUGAUCACCAAUAUUUAAUAAAGAAAGAUGGGAAUAUACUUACAUAAUCCCCAUUAUUUGUCACAAAAUGAUAUGUUGAAAAAUACUGAAUUUGCUUAGAAGUCUUCAGUUACUGGCAAAUUAUCCAUAUUAAGCUUCUCAUUUCAAAUAUGCUUUACCAAAAAACUUGAAAAUUGUAUCCCAUCAUUUCAUAGAAAAGAGAGCAUUCAGUUGGGAUUCAGAAGACUUGAAACCAGUUCCCAGCUCUGCUAUUCACUCAUUAAGGACUUUGAGAAGCAUAUUCUACCUUUCUGAGGUCCAGAUGGAGUAUGAACAGAAUUGAUUAGAUACCUCUCUGAGAAUCUUUUUAGUUUUCAUGUUCCAUCCAAUACAGAAUAUACGGAAACAUAGCUUCUCACCAAUUAUUUGGAAGUUGCCUCAUUAGGGGUUGGGAUUAGUUGGAUACCAGCAGUAUCCAUGGCUUCACAUCGAUGGGAACAGAGAGGCGAAUGUGUAGUGGAUGCAGACUGUUGCUUUGAAGUCAGAGAGAGGUGGGUUCAAAUCCUGAGUCCUUGUGUCAUAUGAGUUACAUGGUAUUACAAAAAUGACUUUCUGUGUCUGAGUUUCAGUGAUACCAUCUGUAAAAUCUGAUCUAUAAAAUGUGUAAGAAAACAGAAUGGCUUCAUUGGAAUAUUACCAGUUGAGUAAUCAACUCUUCUGGGUUGCCUGAAACUGAGAAGUUUCCCAGAAGGUGGGACUUUCAAAAGCAGGAUAGUCCUAGGCAAGCUGAGAUGGCUAUCUACCCUAAAUUUACAAGUGCCACCUAAGUUAAGCCUGUAAAUCACUUCAAUAUGUAUUAGACAUGAUUACUAAGAAUAUAUAAAUAUAGGGGAGUUCAGGGUGACUUUUUAUUCAAGCAGUGUACAAUCCAAAAUUGUCUUGCCAAAUCCUGAUACUUUAAAGAGUAUAUGGUUUUCCUUCCUGAAUAAAAGGACUGUAAAUGUGACAUAUCAAGCAGUACAAAAUGGCUACCCUUUUGCAACAUAACAUCUUGAAUCAAAAGAUGAUGUCGUCUCUCAGUGACUGGCCUGCAUUAAGGGAUUCUGAUGCAGCUACAGGCUGAUAAUGGUGGUGUUCAACAAUCCUAUUGGAUGAGGCUCCAGUCAGGAAUGUGAGCAGCUGUCCUUUCUAAACCCCAUGUCACAUGCUGAGGCUAUGCCAACAUCCUUCUUUUCCAUCAAAACAUUCCAGAUCUCAUCCUUGUCAGGUCGUAUACAGAUAUGUCUCCUAGGAUUAGCAUAAACCCUGUCUCUUGCUAUUGUCUCAGGAAUUUGGAGAUUAUCUUUCUAGAAUGUCUCAUGUAUGCAAUUCUGCACAGAAAACUGAAGAAAACUUAGGAAUCAAAUUCUCUUCAUAUGGAUUCCACUAGACUAUAACCAGUUUUGCUUUGAGAGCUUUCUUCUUCUCUUCCUUUCUAAUCUCUGCCCACUUGAACUAUCCAGGCAUACGGUCUCUGAUGGAUCAAUCACUAUUAACCACCUCCCUCCCAACUCUGCCUUCUAUGAUUCUAAAACCUUAGUAAAUGUCAGCAAUUAGAGAACCUAAAAAUGGAGGUAGACAAGAUGCCUCUGAGAUCUGCAAAGCCUUACAAUAACUUGGUAUUAAGUGCUGAUUGAGUGGGCCUUUGGAUGUGUACUCUGGUUCAUUAGGGAGGCAGGUGAAGACUAGAGUGUGUCUGGGGAAAGUGUAGAUACAUACAGACAUACAGGUUGUGAAGUCUGUUAGCAGGAAGGAAACAUCCUAGGACUCAGAAAGUUUUCCUGUGUAUGUUCUCCAUCAUUCUGAAGACCCAGAAGCUCUAAAUUGGUCCAAUGCUCAUUCUAGAUUUUUGGCAGAAAGCCUGGUCCUACAGUGGAUAUGGAUGCCCCACAAAGUCAGGAAUGUUAAAGGGUUAGUCCCCAGACUGUGCCACUAUUGAAUGGUGGUAAAACAUCUAAGAGGUAGGACCUAGUGGGAGGUCUUUCAAGUCACCGAGGGUGUGCUUUUCAAAAAAUGAGACCCCAGCACCUUCUUCUUUCUCUCUUUUGUUUCCCAG
This 11101-nucleotide long non-coding RNA is filed under the name Heterocephalus glaber (naked mole-rat). RNAcentral describes it as "lncRNA (ENSHGLG00100042437.1)". Lineage: Eukaryota; Metazoa; Chordata; Mammalia; Rodentia; Bathyergidae. The record is from RNAcentral.